This 252-nucleotide ribosomal RNA is filed under the name uncultured bacterium. Its description in RNAcentral is "partial 16S ribosomal RNA". It matches the Rfam family "Bacterial small subunit ribosomal RNA", at positions 524 to 776 of the family's 1533-position model. The record is from RNAcentral.
UACGUAGGGGGCAAGCGUUAUCCGGAAUUAUUGGGUGUAAAGGGAGCGUAGGCGGGAGAGCAAGUCGACUGUGAAAUCUAUGGGCUUAACCCAUAGCUGCGAUCGAAACUGUUCAUCUUGAGUGAAGUAGAGGCAGGCGGAAUUCCUAGUGUAGCGGUGAAAUGCGUAAAUAUUAGGAGGAACACCAGUGGCGAAGGCGGCCUGCUGGGCUUUAACUGACGCUGAGGCUCGAAAGCGUGGGUAGCAAACAGG